UUGUAAAAGCUUUGCACUUUAUUUCUCUCCUCUGAAAGAAGGAAGCCCAUAUUUACAUGUUCCUGCGACUGACUAUUUUUGUGUAACUGUCGCUUUUUCGUAUGAUCCGACUUGCUGGAGGAUGUAUUAUUUACUAUGGCUGAACACUUGUUGGUGCCAUUCUGUGGCGCUGCCACCUUGCGAGCAGUGCGUCCUUCAUGAAUUGUGAAGGGUUUGAAUGUUGUGUACUGUCGUUUCGGUAGAUCAAGUACCUGUUGUCAUGAUUAAACAUGAGUUAAUUGGUGGUGUGAUGAUCUGGUGUUCUAUUGGGACUUGACCUCAACUAUUAAGUCUCUUACGUACAGUUUAAGAUAUCCGUUUGUACAGGGAUAGUGUUUUUUUACAUGGGUAAGACAGACUUAGCUUUACCGGUAUUACUGGUACUUCCUCAUUUGUUUGGCCAGAUCUUAGAGCUCUAGUUGAAAUCGGAGGCCUUUGAUAACUACUACUUCCUUUUCGUUGGGAAGCUUGAAGUGAAUAUCAAGUUUCAAUGUUCAUUUCUUGACCUCCCGUAUAUCUUCCUGCAAUAGGAGAUGCCCGAAGUUUUUUCUUUUCUUUUCCCCUUCAUGGCGAACCGGUCCACUAAAGUAAAUUACGUAGAGGUGCCAAAUCCUGACUUGUUUCUGCAACUGGAAACCGAGAAAUAUCCAUCGCAUUUAGAUUUGAACGUUCAAAACGCUGCAUUGCAGCUUGUGAGGAAUCAAGACACACUGAAUAUACACCAAAAAUUUGGCCUGGGAGAGCACUAUCGCGAUUCCUCCUCUUGGCCGAUUUUUCCAUGCCUGACCCUGCAGUUACAUGAGAGCAUGAUCUAUUCAGGAAACGAGCAUGGUCACCAGCCCAUGACCGUAAUUUCAUAACUGACAUGUUUACUUGCAAAACAGAAGCAAAAUAUAGUAUCAAAUGGUUUGAGUAGAAAUUCACGUACACGUUUUUAGAGAAAU
RNAcentral lists this long non-coding RNA (983 nucleotides) under Physcomitrium patens. Its description in RNAcentral is "long non-coding RNA (PPAT_LNC009176)". The record is from RNAcentral. Lineage: Eukaryota; Viridiplantae; Streptophyta; Bryopsida; Funariales; Funariaceae.